AUGCUCGCGGACGGCAUCGACGGGCCCAUGCAUGCUGAUCUACCCCAUGCUCAAGAGGCGCUGCUGCGGUUCUGCCCGGCGGGCGGGCGGCGCGGCGGUGGAGGAGUUGGUGGCGCAGAACGGCACCAUUGCCAAUGCCUGCCGGACCAGCGGCUACGUCUUCAAGACCUACUUCCCGCACUACCGCACGGAGGCGGACUGGGCGCGCCACUUCGGCGCCAAGUGGGCCCGCUUCGUCGACCGCAAGGCCCGCUACGACCCGCUGGCGAUCCUCGCCCCGGGCCAGAAGAUCUUUGCCAGGACCCCCUCCUCCUGCCGAACCGACCGAUCAUAGCUGCUGUUGGCGGUGAUGAUGGCGGCGGUGAUGAUGAUGAUGAUGAUGAAGAUCUCGACGAUCGACAAGGGGGCGACGACGACGACGAUGGUGAUUAUAGGGUCAUUAUUCAUUAG
RNAcentral lists this ribosomal RNA (450 nucleotides) under Triticum aestivum (bread wheat). RNAcentral's name for it is "partial small subunit ribosomal RNA". Lineage: Eukaryota; Viridiplantae; Streptophyta; Magnoliopsida; Poales; Poaceae. The record is from RNAcentral.